UAAGCGAAUAGUGAAAUCUGGGGCUCAACCUCACAGACUAUUAUUCGAACUGGCAAACUCGAGAAUGGUAGAGGUAACUGGAAUUUCUUGUGUAGGAGUGAAAUCCGUAGAUAUAAGAAGGAACACCAAUGGCGUAGGCAGGUUACUGGACCAUUUCUGACACUGAGGCACGAAAGCGUGGGGAGCGAACGGGAUUAGAUACCCCGGUAGUCCACGCCGUAAACGAUGGAUACUA
This 235-nucleotide ribosomal RNA is filed under the name uncultured Candidatus Saccharibacteria bacterium. RNAcentral describes it as "partial 16S ribosomal RNA". It matches the Rfam family "Bacterial small subunit ribosomal RNA", at positions 584 to 818 of the family's 1533-position model. Lineage: Bacteria; Candidatus Saccharimonadota. The record is from RNAcentral.